GGCCGCUUAGUUUAGUGGCAGAAUGCCGCCCUCCUACCACUGUGGAAGGCGGUGGUCGACGGUUCGAACCCGUCAGUGGUCG
Transfer RNA from Rhodotorula sp. JG-1b, 82 nucleotides. It matches the Rfam family "tRNA". Rfam says of the family: Transfer RNA (tRNA) molecules are approximately 80 nucleotides in length. Their secondary structure includes four short double-helical elements and three loops (D, anti-codon, and T loops). NCBI's taxonomy places the organism in Eukaryota, Fungi, Basidiomycota, Microbotryomycetes, Sporidiobolales, Sporidiobolaceae. The record is from Rfam.